This 125-nucleotide small RNA is filed under the name Marmota monax (woodchuck). The record is from RNAcentral. Lineage: Eukaryota; Metazoa; Chordata; Mammalia; Rodentia; Sciuridae.
GCCGGGUGCAGAGGUGUACACCUGUCAGCCCAGGGGCCCGGGAGGCUGAGGCAGGAGGAUCGUGAGUUCAGAGCCAACCUCAGCAGAAGCGAAGCCCUAAGCAACUCAGUGAGACCCUGUCUCUA